Xenopus tropicalis (tropical clawed frog) is the source of this 137-nucleotide non-coding RNA. NCBI's taxonomy places the organism in Eukaryota, Metazoa, Chordata, Amphibia, Anura, Pipidae. The record is from Ensembl.
UUGUCCAUGCCGCUUGGCUCUGCCUACCCUCUGUGCAGAAUUACUGGGGGUCUGCGGCUGGACGCACAUUGACCCUGUCUGUUUAGGAGGGCCGCACACAGUUGAAGUGCACUCCCUUAAAGGCUUGACAGGACAUU